Molecule: ribosomal RNA, 714 nt
Filed under: Triticum aestivum (bread wheat)
Lineage: Eukaryota; Viridiplantae; Streptophyta; Magnoliopsida; Poales; Poaceae
Description: partial small subunit ribosomal RNA
Source: RNAcentral
AUGACACAAAUAUAUGAGACAAGGAAAAAAUGGGCAAAGCCAUAUUUCAGGGGUGUGUUCUGUGCGAAGAUGACAAGUACCCAGCAAAGUGAGAGCGCAAACCACAUGCUGAAAUCUUACAUGCCGCCUGCGAGCCGAAUGCAUGUUUUCGUCCGGCAAUACACGAGACUUCAAUUUGACCGGGAACGCGACGAAAGCUAUGAGGAAAAGAGGACCAUGAUUGGAGGCGCCGUCCGGCGGACUAACCUUGCGAUUGAGCGGCAUGCCAGCAAAAUAUAUACCAGGAAUAUGUUUGAGGAAUUUGGCCGGCUGCUUUUAGAAGGGACGGCAUACAACGUUACUGAAGUUGAGAGGAUGAAGAAAUACAUCACAACACACAAUAAUGCAGCCAAGAGAGAGAAGUGGAGCAGAGUGGAAUAUGAGGUGACCAUCAACGAUGACAAAUCAAUAUUCACGUGCGAGUGUGGUCAGUUUGAACACACAGGGAUGCUUUGCUGCCAUGCCUUAAGGGUGAUGGAGAUUCUACAUUUGGACGAGAUUCCGAAGCACCAUAUCCUUAAACGGUGGACAAGAGACGCAAGGGAUAUACUCCCAGAUCACCUGGUUCAGUACCAGAAGGACAAAGCACAUAAUUUGUCUUUCACAUGCAGACACGCGAGGCUAUACUUUAAGGCCAUGGAGGUAGUGCGAAUGGGGGACGCAAGCAUGCUAUGA